Molecule: ribosomal RNA, 322 nt
Filed under: Perca fluviatilis (European perch)
Lineage: Eukaryota; Metazoa; Chordata; Actinopteri; Perciformes; Percidae
Description: partial 28S ribosomal RNA
Source: RNAcentral
CCCUCGCCGGGCGCAUUUCCUCCCGURGCGGUGCGCCNGACCGGCUCUGGGUCGGCUUGGAAAGGCUCGGGACGAAGGUGGCUCGCGACUCCGGCCGCGAGCUUUACAGCGCCCCCGUCUGGACCUCGCCGUUUCCUGGGGCCGUGGACUAAGUGCUCGUGCGCCCUCUCUCCCCGCGGSGAGGGACGGGGCCCCCUGCUCCCGGCGCGGCUGUCGACCGGGGCGGACUGUCCUCAGUGCGCCCCAACCGCGUCGCGUCGCCAGGGCGGGGAUCGGCUCACGUAAAAGGCGUCAGGGGUCUGCGGCGAUGUCGGCAACCCAC